AUUACAAACUGCUGAAAACAUUUAAGGAUUAACAGUAAAUGAAAUAGGCAGGUUUUUUUUGUAUUUUUAAAGCCUUUAUUUAGUGUCAAACGUAUAUAUCAAAUUAAGGCAAUUACAAUUUCCAUCUGACACAUUUUCGGAUAAGUGUUAAAAGUUGCUGUAAUGUGUCAAAGAAAAUCAAACCAAGAUAAUAGAUAUAGGAGGAACUAUGGUAGUUUUUAAAGCUCAAAGAAUGGUACAAGACAAUGUCAGAAGACAAUAUUAUAC
Molecule: non-coding RNA, 267 nt
Organism: Pelobates cultripes (western spadefoot toad)
Lineage: Eukaryota; Metazoa; Chordata; Amphibia; Anura; Pelobatidae
Source: the annotation of a GenBank genome assembly